RNAcentral lists this unclassified non-coding RNA (485 nucleotides) under Amphimedon queenslandica. RNAcentral describes it as "uncharacterized LOC109591971, transcript variant X1". Lineage: Eukaryota; Metazoa; Porifera; Demospongiae; Haplosclerida; Niphatidae. The record is from RNAcentral.
GUAAAGCUGAUUGUCCAAUGUUAGAGUCUCAGGCUACAUUAACAACAAGUGACAUUGUUAUCAAUAAAUUGACACAAAUCCUGUCUUACUUGAGGAGACAAGGGUCAAAGAAAAUGAAGAAGAAGUAGAAUGGUGCAUACAGUAUAUUUCCUGAUAUGGGCGAAUACGAUUUCGAUGCAUCUGCAGUUCCGUCUGAUUUAUCAAAGAGAGAUCAACCGUUAUUCACUAAAAGACAUCAAGAAAGCUACUAAAGAAUUUGUCAAGGCUAUAGGGAAAACGGCGAGAGGACUCAUUCUGAUGGUCCAUUACCUUCUGGUUGGUCAGCAAGGGAAGUAGAUAGACAUGUGUUUAGAAGCUCCAGUACUAAGUCGACAGAACCAGUUCUUAUGAAGAAAGCAAAAACUGACAAUGUUGGAUUUGGUGGUUUAGAUCAAGAUCAUUAUGCUGAAUGCUAUCCUGGGUCAGUCCUUAAUAUUAAUAUUAAU